GAGUCGGCCAGACAGUCGCUGCCUGCGUAAGCAGGGGGAGGAAAGUCCGGGCUUCAUAGGGCAGGGUGCCAGGUAACGCCUGGGGGGUGUGAACCCACGACCAGUGCAACAGAGAGCAAACCGCCGAUGGGUAUCUUCGGAUAUCACAGGUAAGGGUGAAAGGGUGCGGUAAGAGCGCACCGCGCGGCUGGCAACAGUUCGUGGCACGGUAAACUCCACUCGAAGCAAGACCAAAUAGGUUCCCUGUUAUCCUUGAGGUACAAGGCGCGGCCCGCGCUGGGAACGGGUAGGUUGCUGGAGCCUGUGAGCGAUUGCAGGCCUAGACGAAUGACUGUCCACGACAGAACCCGGCUUAUCGGCUGACUCCA
Molecule: RNase P RNA, 368 nt
Filed under: uncultured Thalassolituus sp.
Lineage: Bacteria; Pseudomonadati; Pseudomonadota; Gammaproteobacteria; Oceanospirillales; Oceanospirillaceae
Description: Bacterial RNase P class A
Rfam family: Bacterial RNase P class A
About the family: Ribonuclease P (RNase P) is a ubiquitous endoribonuclease, found in archaea, bacteria and eukarya as well as chloroplasts and mitochondria.
Source: RNAcentral